AGAGUUUGAUCCUGGCUCAGAAUGAACGCUGGCGGCGUGCCUAACACAUGCAAGUCGGAUGUGCCGCAAGGUGCAUGGCAGACGGGUGAGUAACGCGUGGGCAAUCUACCUUUUAGUGGGGAAUAACGAUCCGAAAGGAUUGGUAAUACCGCAUGUGAUCAUCGACUGGGAUGUUGGUGAUGAAAGCCGGGGACCGCAAGGCCUGGCGCUAGGAGAGGAGCCCGCGUCUGAUUAGUUAGUUGGUGGGGUAACGGCCUACCAAGACAUCGAUCAGUAGCCGGCCUGAGAGGGUGAUCGGCCACACUGGAACUGAGACACGGUCCAGACUCCUACGGGAGGCAGCAGUGGGGAAUAUUGGACAAUGGGCGAAAGCCUGAUCCAGCCAUGCCGCGUGUGUGAAGAAGGUCUUCGGAUUGUAAAGCACUUUAAGUUGGGAGGAAGGGUAGUAACUUAAUACGUUGCUACUUUGACGUUACCGACAGAAUAAGCACCGGCUAACUUCGUGCCAGCAGCCGCGGUAAUACGAAGGGUGCAAGCGUUAAUCGGAAUUACUGGGCGUAAAGCGCGCGUAGGUGGUUCAGUAAGUUGGAAGUGAAAUCCCCGGGCUCAACCUGGGAACUGCUUUCAAAACUGCUGAGCUAGAGUACGGUAGAGGGUGGUGGAAUUUCCUGUGUAGCGGUGAAAUGCGUAGAUAUAGGAAGGAACACCAGUGGCGAAGGCGACCACCUGGACUGAUACUGACACUGAGGUGCGAAAGCGUGGGGAGCAAACAGGAUUAGAUACCCUGGUAGUCC
RNAcentral lists this ribosomal RNA (794 nucleotides) under uncultured bacterium. Its description in RNAcentral is "bacterial SSU rRNA". It matches the Rfam family "Bacterial small subunit ribosomal RNA", at positions 8 to 796 of the family's 1533-position model. The record is from RNAcentral.